CACGCCACUGCCGAGGGAAUCAGGAACUUCUGUCAGAGAGAAAUACGUUGGCUUCCUUAUUCCAGUUGCCUUGCGUUGUGCGGGAGUUCCUUAUUCCUCCAUUUUAUUCCAGUUGCCUUGCGUUGUGCGGGAGUUCCUUAUUCCUCCGAAAUGGCAAUGGGAUCGACAAAAUUGCACCUGUACAGAUACACAAAGACGGAAGAGACGCACCUAACAUGCUUGAAGACGGCGGCGGCAGCAGAGCGCGAGCGCGGGAACUGCCAACCGGACCACGCGGCGACGGGUAUGUAGACGUCGAGCAGCACGACGGCCCUGGCCUCCACCGCGGCGCCGUCCCCUUCCCCUUCCCCAGGCCUCCUCCUGGUCACGACCCGGAGAAGCGUACCCUCCACCUCCACGCAGCGGUUCGCCACGAGCGUCCUGAGCAGGCGCACGACGCCGGGGGCGCGCGACCUGGGCCACCGCGGCUGGGCCCGCACGUCGUCGGGGAGCGGCGCAAGGGCCACGGCCCCGCACGCGGAGAGCGUGCACGGGGACAGCGGAAGGAUAGACGCCGCCGCCGCGACGUCCCCGCCGGGGAUGGACACCACGGCGCGUAGGUAGCCACAAAGCUUGCGGCGCUCCCCCGCGGCGGCCAUUGUGAGGUAGUAAGGUUAAGGUAGGGUUAGGUCUCGCUCUCGCGUGCCACCAUGGAGAGCGGGGUGGGUGGCGAUGCCCGCUGGGAUCCGGUGGCUGCGGGCUCGGCUUCUCGGGCGGUGGCGACUGGCCGACUGGGAGGCGAGGCGACGAGGAGGAAGAGGACGCGUAACUACCUGGACCGGGAGAGAUGUGUGGGGUCGGCUUCGGCUGGAAUCUGGGGCUCGGAUCGGGUCUGACGGACCUGUGCUUCCGGCUUCGAUCGCAUCGAAACUGUGAGCCGUUUUCGCAAUACGUGGUUUACGCCUUUACGGCACACGGGUACGGAACGACUUUCCCAACGUCCGAAUUAUUUUCACUUCCCGCAUAUUAUACACAUAAAAAAUUCCCUUUAUACUACUCAAUAGCACAUAAAGAGAUGAGCAUAAAUCCGAUGGUAUAUAGAGAAUUUUUUUCAAUUAUAUUUCUUUGCAUGUUGAGAAAUAGUUUAUAUCUUGAUCGAAUUCCAG
RNAcentral lists this unclassified non-coding RNA (1145 nucleotides) under Zea mays. RNAcentral's name for it is "misc RNA Zm00001eb140830". Lineage: Eukaryota; Viridiplantae; Streptophyta; Magnoliopsida; Poales; Poaceae. The record is from RNAcentral.